Molecule: ribosomal RNA, 1320 nt
Filed under: uncultured bacterium
Lineage: Bacteria
Description: bacterial SSU rRNA
Rfam family: Bacterial small subunit ribosomal RNA
Source: RNAcentral
AUGAACGCUGGCGGCGUGCUUAACACAUGCACUUCGAACGAAGCACUUUAGAAUGCUUGCAUUUUAAAGUAACUGAGUGGCGGACGGGUGAGUAACGCGUGGGUAACCUACCUCAUACAGGGGGAUAACAGUUAGAAAUGACUGCUAAUACCGCAUAAGCCUCCGAUAUCGCAUGAUAAAGAAGGAAAAGCUUUUCGGUAUGAGAUGGGCCCGCGUCUGAUUAGCUAGUUGGUGGGGUAAAGGCCUACCAAGGCGACGAUCAGUAGCCGGCUUGAGAGAGUGAACGGCCACAUUGGAACUGAGACACGGUCCAAACUCCUACGGGAGGCAGCAGUGGGGAAUAUUGCACAAUGGGGGAAACCCUGAUGCAGCGACGCCGCGUGAGUGAAGAAGUAUUUCGGUAUGUAAAGCUCUAUCAGCAGGGAAGAAAAUGACGGUACCUGACUAAGAAGCCCCGGCUAACUACGUGCCAGCAGCCGCGGUAAUACGUAGGGGGCAAGCGUUAUCCGGAUUUACUGGGUGUAAAGGGAGCGUAGACGGCAAGGCAAGUCUGAUGUGAAAACCCAGGGCUUAACCCUGGGACUGCAUUGGAAACUGUCUGGCUCGAGUGCCGGAGAGGUAAGCGGAAUUCCUAGUGUAGCGGUGAAAUGCGUAGAUAUUAGGAAGAACACCAGUGGCGAAGGCGGUCUACUGGGCACCAACUGACGCUGAGGCUCGAAAGUGUGGGUAGCAAACAGGAUUAGAUACCCUGGUAGUCCACACCGUAAACGAUGAUUACUAGGUGUUGGAGGAUUGACCCCUUCAGUGCCGCAGUUAACACAAUAAGUAAUCCACCUGGGGAGUACGACCGCAAGGUUGAAACUCAAAGGAAUUGACGGGGGCCCGCACAAGCAGUGGAGUAUGUGGUUUAAUUCGACGCAACGCGAAGAACCUUACCAAGUCUUGACAUCCUGCGACGAUGCUGGAAACAGUAUUUUCCUUCGGGACGCAGAGACAGGUGGUGCAUGGUUGUCGUCAGCUCGUGUCGUGAGAUGUUGGGUUAAGUCCCGCAACGAGCGCAACCCUUACUGUCAGUUACUACGCAAGAGGACUCUGGCAGGACUGCCGUUGACAAAACGGAGGAAGGUGGGGAUGACGUCAAAUCAUCAUGCCCUUUAUGACUUGGGCUACACACGUACUACAAUGGCGUUAAACAAAGAGAAGCAAGACCGCGAGGUGGAGCAAAACUCAGAAACAACGUCCCAGUUCGGACUGCAGGCUGCAACUCGCCUGCACGAAGUCGGAAUUGCUAGUAAUCGUGGAUCAGCAUGCCACGGUGAA